UAACACGUGGGUAACCUGCCUGUGAGACUGGGAUAACUCCGGGAAACCGGGGCUAAUACCGGAUGGUUGUCUGAACCGCAUGGUUCAAACAUAAAAGGUGGCUUCGGCUACCACUUACAGAUGGACCCGCGGCGCAUUAGCUAGUUGGUGAGGUAACGGCUCACCAAGGCGACGAUGCGUAGCCGACCUGAGAGGGUGAUCGGCCACACUGGGACUGAGACACGGCCCAGACUCCUACGGGAGGCAGCAGUAGGGAAUCUUCCGCAAUGGACGAAAGUCUGACGGAGCAACGCCGCGUGAGUGAUGAAGGUUUUCGGAUCGUAAAGCUCUGUUGUUAGGGAAGAACAAGUGCCGUUCAAAUAGGGCGGCAC
RNAcentral lists this ribosomal RNA (371 nucleotides) under Bacillus amyloliquefaciens. RNAcentral describes it as "bacterial SSU rRNA". It matches the Rfam family "Bacterial small subunit ribosomal RNA", at positions 111 to 478 of the family's 1533-position model. The record is from RNAcentral. Lineage: Bacteria; Bacillati; Bacillota; Bacilli; Caryophanales; Bacillaceae.